GGAGGAUCCGAGCGUUAUCCGGAAUUAUUGGGUUUAAAGGGUGCGUAGGCGGCCUGAUAAGUCAGGGGUGAAAGUCGGCAGCUCAACUGUCGCAGUGCCUUUGAUACUGUUUGGCUUGAAUUCGGUUGAAGAUGGCGGAAUGAGACAAGUAGCGGUGAAAUGCAUAGAUAUGUCUCAGAACCCCGAUUGCGAAGGCAGCUAUCUAAGCCGUUAUUGACGCUGAUGCACGAAAGCGUGGGUAGCAAACAGGAUUAGAUACCCUGGUAGUCCACGCCCUAAACGAUGAUAACUCGAUGUUGGCGAUAUACAGUCAGCGUCUUAGCGAAAGCGUUAAGUUAUCCACCUGGGGAGUACGCCCGCCACGGUG
This 367-nucleotide ribosomal RNA is filed under the name uncultured bacterium. Its description in RNAcentral is "bacterial SSU rRNA". It matches the Rfam family "Bacterial small subunit ribosomal RNA", at positions 527 to 896 of the family's 1533-position model. The record is from RNAcentral.